CCUACGGGUGGCAGCAGUGAGGAAUAUUGGUCAAUGGGCGCGAGCCUGAACCAGCCAAGUCGCGUGCGGGAAGACGGUCCUAUGGAUUGUAAACCUCUUUUGUCGGGGAGCAAAAGACGCCACGUGUGUCGUUCCGAGAGUACCCGACGAAAAAGCAUCGGCUAACUCCGUGCCAGCAGCCGCGGUAAUACGUAGGGAGCAAGCGUUGGCCGGAAUUACUGGGUGUAAAGGGCGCGUAGGCGGGAGGAUAAGUUGAAUGUGAAAUCUAUGGGCUCAACCCAUAGCUGCGUUCAAAACUGUUCUUCUUGAGUGAAGUAGAGGCAGGCGGAAUUCAUAGUGUAGCGGUGAAAUGCGUAGAUAUUAGGAGGAACACCAGUGGCGAAGGCAGCCUGCCGCAGCGUUACUGACGCUGAAGCUCGAAAGCGCGGGUAUCGAACAGGAUUAGAUACCCGAGUAGUC
This 459-nucleotide ribosomal RNA is filed under the name uncultured bacterium. RNAcentral describes it as "partial 16S ribosomal RNA". It matches the Rfam family "Bacterial small subunit ribosomal RNA", at positions 338 to 795 of the family's 1533-position model. The record is from RNAcentral.